Molecule: ribosomal RNA, 446 nt
Filed under: uncultured bacterium
Lineage: Bacteria
Description: partial 16S ribosomal RNA
Rfam family: Bacterial small subunit ribosomal RNA
Source: RNAcentral
CCUACGGGGAGCAGCAGUCGAGAAUCAUUCACAAUGGGGGCAACCCUGAUGGUGCGACGCCGCGUGGGGGAAUGCAGGUCUUCGGAUUGUAAACUCCUGUCAUGUGGGAGCAAAUUAAAAAGAUAGUACCACAAGAGGAAGAGACGGCUAACUCUGUGCCAGCAGCCGCGGUAAUACAGAGGUCUCAAGCGUUGUUCGGAAUCACUGGGCGUAAAGUGUGCGUAGGCGGUUUCGUAAGUCGUGUGUGAAAGGCGCGGGCUCAACCCGCGGACGGCACAUGAUACUGCGAGACUAGAGUAAUGGAGGGGGAAGCGGAAUUCUCGGUGUAGCAGUGAAAUGCGUAGAUAUCGAGAGGAACACUCGUGGCGAAGGCGGGUUCCUGGACAUUAACUGACGCUGAGGCACGAAGGCCAGGGGAGCGAAAGGGAUUAGAUACCCGGGUAGUC